UGUCUACCCCACUCGAUCACCGAAUCCCACA
This 31-nucleotide non-coding RNA is filed under the name Homo sapiens (human). The record is from RNAcentral. Lineage: Eukaryota; Metazoa; Chordata; Mammalia; Primates; Hominidae.